RNAcentral lists this ribosomal RNA (402 nucleotides) under uncultured Rhodoplanes sp. RNAcentral describes it as "bacterial SSU rRNA". It matches the Rfam family "Bacterial small subunit ribosomal RNA", at positions 355 to 774 of the family's 1533-position model. The record is from RNAcentral. Lineage: Bacteria; Pseudomonadati; Pseudomonadota; Alphaproteobacteria; Hyphomicrobiales; Nitrobacteraceae.
UGGGGAAUAUUGGACAAUGGGCGCAAGCCUGAUCCAGCCAUGCCGCGUGAGUGAUGAAGGCCCUAGGGUUGUAAAGCUCUUUCGACGGGGAAGAUAAUGACGGUACCCGUAGAAGAAGCCCCGGCUAACUUCGUGCCAGCAGCCGCGGUAAUACGAAGGGGGCUAGCGUUGCUCGGAAUCACUGGGCGUAAAGCGCACGUAGGCGGGUCUUUAAGUCGGAGGUGAAAUCCUGGAGCUCAACUCCAGAACUGCCUUCGAUACUGAGGAUCUCGAGUCCGGGAGAGGUGAGUGGAACUGCGAGUGUAGAGGUGAAAUUCGUAGAUAUUCGCAAGAACACCAGUGGCGAAGGCGGCUCACUGGCCCGGUACUGACGCUGAGGUGCGAAAGCGUGGGGAGCAAACA